UGUGUCGCAGCUAAAUUGUUU
This 21-nucleotide non-coding RNA is filed under the name Caenorhabditis elegans. The record is from RNAcentral. Lineage: Eukaryota; Metazoa; Nematoda; Chromadorea; Rhabditida; Rhabditidae.